RNA transcript from Populus nigra (black poplar), 2693 nucleotides. It is a transcript of the gene named synaptotagmin-2-like, with no coding region annotated. NCBI's taxonomy places the organism in Eukaryota, Viridiplantae, Streptophyta, Magnoliopsida, Malpighiales, Salicaceae. The transcript has 13 exons. The record is from RefSeq and is a predicted model, not a curated record.
UAAGUCAUUAAGAACAUUAAACGUUAAAAGAUUGGCCACAAGAAUCAAUUAAUGCAACCUUUAUUGCACUUACCUGAUAAGACCAAGCUACACCCUAUGAUCACUGAUUUUUUUUUCCCCACUUAGAAAGAUUUAGUAGUGUCUUCUACUUCAACUACAUUUCUCUUCUCCCCUGUUUACCACACUGGGUUUGAUCUGUUAAGAGAUGGGAAUAUUGAGUAGUAUAUUGGGAUUUUGUGGUUUUGGAGUAGGAACGUCAAUUGGGAUUGUAAUUGGGUACUACAUGUUUAUCUAUUUUGAGCCAACUGAUGUCAAGGAUCCUGUAGUCCGUCCUUUGAUUGAACAAGACUCGAAAACUUUACAACGUCUGCUUCCAGAAAUACCCCAGUGGGUGAAAAAUCCAGACUAUGAUCGGGUUGACUGGCUUAACAAAUUGAUCGAGAACAUGUGGCCUUACCUAGAUACGGCAAUCUGCAAGACUGCAAAGAAUAUAGCGAAGCCCAUUAUUGCUGAGCAAAUUCCAAAAUACAAAAUUGACUCUGUUGAAUUCGAAACACUUACCUUGGGCUCCCUGCCACCAACUUUUCCAGGAAUGAAAGUUUAUGUCACUGGUGAGAAAGAGCUGAUCAUGGAACCGGUAUUGAAGUGGGCUGGGAAUCCAAAUAUUAUCAUUGCAGUUAAAGCAUUUGGUCUGAAAGCCACAGUUCAGGUGGUUGAUUUGCAAGUAUUUGCCACUCCACGUAUCACCCUAAAGCCUUUGGUUCCUUCAUUUCCUUGUUUUGCCAAUAUAUAUGUGUCUCUGCUACAGAAGCCACAUGUUGACUUUGGAUUGAAAUUGCUUGGAGCUGAUGCUAUGUCCAUUCCUGGCCUGUACAAAUUUGUCCAGGAGCUUAUCAAAGAUCAGGUUGCAAGUAUGUAUUUAUGGCCAAAAACCCUAGUAGUGCCAAUCGUGGAUGCUUCAAAAGCCAUGAAGCGACCUGUUGGGAUACUCACUGUGAAGGUUCUGAAGGCAACGGCGCUUAAAAAGAAAGAUCUGUUAGGGGGAUCAGACCCAUAUGUGAAAUUAAAGCUUACUGAAGAUGCGCUUCCUUCAAAGAAAACAACUGUUAAAAACAAAAACUUGAACCCCGAAUGGAAUGAGGAGUUUAAUAUCACCGUUAAGGACCCGGAAUCUCAAGCCUUGGAGAUUCUUGUCUACGAUUGGGAACAGGUUGGCAAACACGACAAGAUGGGUAUGAAUGUCAUUCCAUUGAAAGAUCUGACACCGGAUGAGCAAAAGGUUAUGACUCUUGAUCUGCUAAAAAAUAUGGAUCCAAAUGAUGUUCAAAAUAAGAAAUCACGUGGACAGAUUGUUGUUGAAGUGGUAUACAAACCUUUUAAGGAUCUCGAGGCAGAAAAGGAUAUAGUUGAUCCAAAUGCAGUGGGAAAAGCUCCUGAAGGAACACCUGCUGGUGGUGGUCUAUUAGUAGUUAUUGUACAUGAAGCUCAAGAUGUUGAAGGGAAGCACCACACAAAUCCUUAUGUUCGAUUACUUUUCAAAGGGGAGGACAAAAGAACUAAGCAAGUGAAGAAAAAUAGAGAUCCAAGAUGGGGGGAGGAUUUUCAGUUCACGCUAGACGAACCACCUACAAAUGAAAGACUUCAUGUGGAAGUUCUUAGUUCCUCAAAGAUGUCUCUACUUCACUCUAAGGAAAACCUGGGUUAUGUGAUUAUAAACCUAGCAGAUGUCGUGACAAACAGGAGAAUCAACGAGAAGUACAAUCUCAUUGACUCCAGGAAUGGUCAAAUCCAAAUUGAGCUGCAAUGGAAAACAUCUUAAGGGCACACUCAUUUUGUUUUUCAGUAGGUAUUUGGUCAAAACAUAAGACAUUUCCUUCUGCUUUUUGUUUGUAGUGAUUUCAGUACGAAAGUGUGCACUCUAAUAAUUGACUCUGUAGAUUACCGGAGCAUGAACUCUGUAAAUCUAAGCUUGCCGAAACAUUUCCAGAUAUGAUCAGCAAAACUUUACAGAUAAGUAGCUUGUGAGGCUGUGACGAAUAUUGUAGCUUGAGUUACCAUGUCCAUCCCUUAAAGUUGGACACAAAAGGCUAGGCUGGAAGAACAGAUUCAACAGGCCAGCAGCCCAAAGGCAUCUGAACAAAUAAAUAAGUGAAGGCUUACCCUCGAGCCCGUUAAACAACAUAUAUAUAUAUAUAUAUAUAUAUAUAUAUAUAUAUAGACUAAUAAUAUUCCCAUUUAGAAGCUCAGAUUUGUGGUUCUGCUAUCGAUUUCUUGUGAAUCUUUUCAUGUCUCCAUGGGUUUUGAUCAGUUAUGUCGGAGCAAUGAGGCUUCUAACCGAAGUCCGCUGAGUUCUAUGGCUUCCUAUCGCACCAAUUCUUUGAAUAGAGCUUUAGCGUUCAAUGAUGAAGGCAAAUUGGUGCCUGAACCCACUACAAUGUUGCCGAAUAUAAGAUCAAUCGGAGAUUAACCUGGACGGAAGUGAUCUUCACCGAAAGAGCAGAACACCUUCCGUACCUGUAACAUUUUUUGAGCGGGAAGGUCACGAUAGCUACAAGGACGUGGCAAAUGGUCAUAGUUAUUAACACCAUACGGCCGUCAUAUCGAUCAGUAAAUUGCCGACUCAUAACCUGGCUAGAGUAAGCUUUUAUUUUGAAUCAUUUUAAAGUAUUUAUAUUUCAAAUAUUUAUUUUUCA